CCAAUAUUAGAGGCACUGCCUGCCCAGUGACUAGAAUUUAACGGCCGCGGUAUCCUGACCGUGCAAAGGUAGCAUAAUCACUUGUUCUUCAAUUGAGGACUAGAAUGAAUGGCCACACGAGGGUUUAACUGUCUCCUACUUAUAAUCAGUGAAAUUGACCUCUUCGUGAAGAGGCGAAGAUAAACCAAUAAGACGAGAAGACCCUAUGGAGCUUAAAUUAAAUAUCCACACUUUAUACAAUAACCCCCAGGGCACAACACUACAAUAUCUGGAUACACAAUUUUGGUUGGGGUGACCUCGGAGCACAGACCAACCUCCGAGUAUUUUUACUUAGACCUACCAGUCAAAGCAGACAAACAUCAUAUACAUUGACCCAAAUAGUUUGAUCAACGGAACAAGUUACCCUAGGGAUAACAGCGCAAUCCUGUUCUAGAGUCCAUAUCGACAACAGGGUUUACGACCUCGAUGUUGGAUCAGGACAUCCCAAUGGUGUAACCGCUAUUAAAGGUUCGUUUGUUC
RNAcentral lists this ribosomal RNA (519 nucleotides) under Galagoides demidoff (Demidoff's galago). Its description in RNAcentral is "partial 16S ribosomal RNA". It matches the Rfam family "Bacterial large subunit ribosomal RNA", at positions 1840 to 2582 of the family's 2925-position model. Lineage: Eukaryota; Metazoa; Chordata; Mammalia; Primates; Galagidae. The record is from RNAcentral.